RNAcentral lists this ribosomal RNA (303 nucleotides) under uncultured bacterium. RNAcentral describes it as "partial 16S ribosomal RNA". It matches the Rfam family "Bacterial small subunit ribosomal RNA", at positions 507 to 807 of the family's 1533-position model. The record is from RNAcentral.
AGCAGCAGCCACGGGAAUACAGAGGGUGCGAGCGUUAAUCGGAUUUACUGGGCGUAAAGCGUGCGUAGGCGGCUUUUUAAGUCGGAUGUGAAAUCCCUGAGCUUAACUUAGGAAUUGCAUUCGAUACUGGGAAGCUAGAGUAUGGGAGAGGAUGGUAGAAUUCCAGGUGUAGCGGUGAAAUGCGUAGAGAUCUGGAGGAAUACCGAUGGCGAAGGCAGCCAUCUGGCCUAAUACUGACGCUGAGGUACGAAAGCAUGGGGAGCAAACAGGAUUAGAUACCCCGGUAGUCCCUGUCUCUUAUAC